ACUGUUUCAUGAUGGCUCAGAUUGAACGCUGGCGGCAGGCUUAACACAUGCAAGUCGAGCGGAAACGAGAAUAGCUUGCUAUUCGGCGUCGAGCGGCGGACGGGUGAGUAAUGCUUGGGAAUAUGCCUUAUGGUGGGGGACAACAGUUGGAAACGACUGCUAAUACCGCAUAACGUCUACGGACCAAAGGGGGGGAUCUUCGGACCUCUCGCCAUUUGAUUAGCCCAAGUGAGAUUAGCUAGUUGGUAAGGUAAUGGCUUACCAAGGCGACGAUCUCUAGCUGGUUUGAGAGGAUGAUCAGCCACACUGGGACUGAAACACGGCCCAAACUCCUACGGGAGGCAGCAGUGGGGAAUAUUGCACAAUGGGCGAAAGCCUGAUGCAGCCAUGCCGCGUGUGUGAAGAAGGCCUUCGGGUUGUAAAGCACUUUCAGCGAGGAGGAAAGGUUAGUACUUAAUAACUGCUAGCUGUGACGUUACUCGCAGAAGAAGCACCGGCUAACUUCGUGCCAGCAGCCGCGGUAAUACUAGGGGUGCAAGCGUUAAUCGGAAUUACUGGUCGUAAAGCGUGCGUAGGUGGUUUGUUAAUCACGAUGUGAAAGCCCUGGGCUCAA
RNAcentral lists this ribosomal RNA (613 nucleotides) under uncultured bacterium. Its description in RNAcentral is "bacterial SSU rRNA". It matches the Rfam family "Bacterial small subunit ribosomal RNA", at positions 8 to 612 of the family's 1533-position model. The record is from RNAcentral.